GUGCUCAUUUCGGCAGCAUAUAUACUAAAUUUGGAACGAGACAGAGAAGAUGAGCCUGGCCCCUGUGCAAAGGGCAUAGGGUGGAGUCUAUAACUGACUUG
Molecule: small nuclear RNA, 101 nt
Filed under: Pteropus vampyrus (large flying fox)
Lineage: Eukaryota; Metazoa; Chordata; Mammalia; Chiroptera; Pteropodidae
Source: RNAcentral